CCACUCUUUGGAUGUUCGGAGGGCUCUUGCCUUCUAUGUAGAUUGGACAAGACCCUUCAGAAGGACAGAGAGACUCUUUGUCAGCUUUUCAGGCUCAUCUAUGGGCAUGCCUAUAUCAACGCAGCGAGUUUCAUCUUGGGUAGCAGAGACUGUACGUCUAGCCUACCAGCUGGCUAAGAAGCAAUUGCCGGGCCCUAUUCGGGCCCAUUCCAUGAGGGCAGUGGCGUCAUCGGAAGCCUUUUGGCGGGGAAUUGCAUUGGAGGAGAUUUGCAGGGCAGCUAGCUGGGCUAAAACGUCUACCUUCAUACAACACUAUGCGCUGGAUGUUCGUUCCAGAGAUCAGGCAUGUUUGGGGACGGCAGUACUUCACUCAGUCUCUCAUUAGGCUGCUCCCACCAGCCAGGUAAGCUAGCUCACUAUGAUCUCAAGUGUGAUGCACAGAGACCACGAAGAAGAAGGGCAGGUUUCCUACUUGUAACCGUAGUUCUUCGUGUGGUCUUCUGUGCAUUCACACUCCCGCCCUACUUCCCCACAGCAGCUGGUCUCUUUUGUUGAGCGGCGGUCUCCUUGACUGAGGUAGUGUGUGGUUCAACCUACAAAGGGAGUGGGUCUUCCCGCUCUUUUUUCCUUUUUGGGGGUGAAGCUUUGGAAGGUUCCAGAACGUGUCUCUGCGCAGGCGCAUAACCCAAGUGUGAACGCACAGAAGACCACACGAAGAACUACGGUUACAGGUAGGAAACCUGCCCUUUCCUUGAUGCCCCUUUUCAUUCCUCAUUUCAUUCCGCAUUUCAUUCCAGCCCCAUUUCAUUCCUCAUUUGUGUGUUUGUGCGUGUGUGCAUUUCUUUUAGGUGGCAUAUCUGAGCUGAGUAAGGUAAGCAGAGGCAGAGGCGCUUUUACUCCUGGAUUUUGGGGAUGCAGCCCCUGGUGUCCAUACUCCUUGGGGGCUCCCAAAUAAUCUUUAGUCAGUCCUGGGUGGUGUGGUUUGUGCCCUCAAGAACGUAUGUGUUAAAAAAUGUUUAAUUUGCAUUGGGGAUGGGUGGGGGCUCCAAAGGCUUUUAGGUCCAGGCUCCAAAAUUACCUAGGUGCACCUCUGAGCAGAGGCGAUCUUGCCAGCGGCUCUUUCUCUUGGGGGGUUGUAAUUUUUAUCCCCCAGUUAAUUAGCAGAGCACUAAAGAAGCUACCCAUUCCAGUUACAGAGUAGUUGCAGAGUUUAGUUGUUGCAGCCAUUUAGAGAAGUCACAUGGAGAGUCUUGUAGAAUAAAUACAAAGUAUUUAUUGGUGAAGUACACCUUUGGAUAAGAAAGACCUAACCGUAAUCUAUAGAACAACAUAAUGAAUAGGUGCGGGAGAGAGAGAGAUUUUUCCAUCUGCUCUCUAAGAGGAAAAGAAGGGAUUCUUUCUGACUCUCAACAGGAAAUACCUGAAGAGUCAUAUCAGGGGUCAUAGAGUAGAGACCGAUAGAAUGGUUAGGGAGACCCUUACUCACUAUCUCUACCCCCAAUGCCCCUAGUGGUCAUAAGGAUAGUUGGUGCAAAAAGUUGAUGCACUGGUAGUCCAUCUCCAACACUUUCCCGGGCUAUGCAAUGUAGUCCUCUACAUUCCUCAUUUGUGUAUUUGUUUCUUUUAGUUGGCAAAUCUCAGCUGCGUAAGGUGGUGAAUCCCAGCUGGAUAAGGUGGUGAAUCCCAGCUGGAUAAGGUAAGCAGAGGCAAUUGCCAUCAGGAUGGUUCUCUGAACCAGCCUGACAACCAGGCUGGUUCGAUGGUUUGAUCGCGAAACAAACAGGCCUUCAGGAAAGGUGGUCCAGUCCAAGAUCAAGCCAAAUCAGCCCUGACCAGGAGGACAUGGCUCCCAUGUAGCCGUCCUCUGUGAGAAGUGGCUACAUGCAUGGGAUGGCCAAUGGGGUCAGUGUGGCGCUGCUGCUACUUAUGCGGCACACAUGCUUCCCUCCUCCGAACUUUGCAGGCUUUGCGGCUCCCGCCCACCCUCCCUAGUUCAGUGAGAGAUUAGCUGGUCGCUUAUGGGCCGAGUAGGAAUUUUUGGUCUUCACCUGAUUGGCUUUGUGUGGAGAUUUUUUCGCCUACUCCUCACUGACUGUGUUUUAAAGGGAAUAACCCCCUUUUUAGGGGUGGGAGUCUGGUUGCAGGUUAAGUGGUCACUUUGGCAGGUGAGUGUGGGCUUUGGAGGUUAAGACCUCGAUUGGUGCUCAGCCAUAGGCACCUUUCAGGUAGAGAUGGUUUCAUGGAACAACCUUUCAGGGUUUUGUGGCCCAGGGGUGUCUGAGGUGGCCAGAGCCUAAGGGGUAUACUCAUGGGUCAAAUGAGCCGUAAGCCAGAAUUUGGCUUUCAAAAAGCCAAAUCUGGUCACCUAGCGAAGGAACCACUUUUAGGGCACUGUUCAGCUGACCCACUCAAAGCUUUGGGGCUGGAGGGGUGGUGACCAGUGUUUCCUCUAACAGGGAUUCCCAGAUGUUGACUACAACUCCCAGAAUCCCAAGCUACAAUGGCUUUUGCUUGGGGAUUAUGGGAGUUGUAGUCCACAACAUCUGGGGAUCCAUGUUGGAGGGAACAGUGGUGGUGACCCUGGUGGCUACCUCCUUGACACAGUAAACUGUGUGGCUUGGUGGGGCUAUGCUGAGGUUUCAUAUGGCAUCUGCCAAGCCUGGCUGCUUUGCCCAACAGUGAGAGGAGCUCAGCCCUCGCUAGGAGGCUGUGCCUACCCGAAAAGGGGAUUGGAGUUGCCCACACUCUAGUUUAGGGAGGUUAUAGUUAUACCUGUUGCUGAUCUCUGCAUAGUUUAUAGUUAAUAAAGUGGCCCUAGUUUUCAUCCAUA
This is a long non-coding RNA of Hemicordylus capensis (graceful crag lizard), 2830 nucleotides long. RefSeq lists it as uncharacterized. NCBI's taxonomy places the organism in Eukaryota, Metazoa, Chordata, Lepidosauria, Squamata, Cordylidae. The transcript is spliced from 3 exons. The record is from RefSeq and is a predicted model, not a curated record.